GAUGAACGCUGGCGGCGUGCCUAAUACAAGCAAGUCGAGCGAACGGACGAGAAGCUUGCUUCUCUGAUGUUAGCGGCGGACGGGUGAGUAACACGUGGAUAACCUACCUAUAAGACUGGGAUAACUUCGGGAAACCGGAGCUAAUACCGGAUAAUAUUUUGAACCGCAUGGUUCAAAAGUGAAAGACGGUCUUGCUGUCACUUAUAGAUGGAUCCGCGCUGCAUUAGCUAGUUGGUAAGGUAACGGCUUACCAAGGCAACGAUGCAUAGCCGACCUGAGAGGGUGAUCGGCCACACUGGAACUGAGACACGGUCCAGACUCCUACGGGAGGCAGCAGUAGGGAAUCUUCCGCAAUGGGCGAAAGCCUGACGGAGCAACGCCGCGUGAGUGAUGAAGGUCUUCGGAUCGUAAAACUCUGUUAUUAGGGAAGAACAUAUGUGUAAGUAACUGUGCACAUCUUGACGGUACCUAAUCAGAAAGCCACGGCUAACUACGUGCCAGCAGCCGCGGUAAUACGUAGGUGGCAAGCGUUAUCCGGAAUUAUUGGGCGUAAAGCGCGCGUAGGCGGUUUUUUAAGUCUGAUGUGAAAGCCCACGGCUCAACCGUGGAGGGUCAUUGGAAACUGGAAAACUUGAGUGCAGAAGAGGAAAGUGGAAUUCCAUGUGUAGCGGUGAAAUGCGCAGAGAUAUGGAGGAACACCAGUGGCGAAGGCGACUUUCUGGUCUGUAACUGACGCUGAUGUGCGAAAGCGUGGGGAUCAAACAGGAUUAGAUACCCUGGUAGUCCACGCCGUAAACGAUGAGUGCUAAGUGUUAGGGGGUUUCCGCCCCUUAGUGCUGCAGCUAACGCAUUAAGCACUCCGCCUGGGGAGUACGACCGCAAGGUUGAAACUCAAAGGAAUUGACGGGGACCCGCACAAGCGGUGGAGCAUGUGGUUUAAUUCGAAGCAACGCGAAGAACCUUACCAAAUCUUGACAUCCUUUGACAACUCUAGAGAUAGAGCCUUCCCCUUCGGGGGACAAAGUGACAGGUGGUGCAUGGUUGUCGUCAGCUCGUGUCGUGAGAUGUUGGGUUAAGUCCCGCAACGAGCGCAACCCUUAAGCUUAGUUGCCAUCAUUAAGUUGGGCACUCUAAGUUGACUGCCGGUGACAAACCGGAGGAAGGUGGGGAUGACGUCAAAUCAUCAUGCCCCUUAUGAUUUGGGCUACACACGUGCUACAAUGGACAAUACAAAGGGCAGCGAAACCGCGAGGUCAAGCAAAUCCCAUAAAGUUGUUCUCAGUUCGGAUUGUAGUCUGCAACUCGACUACAUGAAGCUGGAAUCGCUAGUAAUCGUAGAUCAGCAUGCUACGGUGAAUACGUUCCCGGGUCU
Molecule: ribosomal RNA, 1372 nt
Filed under: uncultured bacterium
Lineage: Bacteria
Description: bacterial SSU rRNA
Rfam family: Bacterial small subunit ribosomal RNA
Source: RNAcentral